CCGCUCGGCGCACGCCGCGCCGCAACGCGCCUCGCGCAAAAUUCCAAAUAUGGAAUUCGAAAUUCAAAAGUGACAGCUCGCUCUUUUCUGCCCCAAAAACGAUACGCGCGUGACGUAUUCCUUUUUUAAAGUGGAAGAUGCCAGUUAUUGUGUGGAUCGAUUUUUUUUUCUGAAUUUUUAAUGUGGCAGUGCGGCAGUGGCGUUUUGAGCCAAUGUGAAACACGGCCUUUUGAUACAGAUUUUUCAUGAAACCCUGGGCAAGGGGUGAUCUACGGCGUCGGCAGCGCCUAAUCAUUCACGAUUAGCCCCUCCACCACUCGCAAUGAGCCCGUACGUAAAGCUGAGCAGACUCGAGAGCGACUACAUUGCGGUGAUGUGGAGACGAGGUCAGAGUCGGGCACCAUAGCAGUGUAUUCUAUGUACUGCCGGACUGAGGAGUGAGCAAAAAUGAAUCUCCUCAACAUGGACGCGGAGAACCGCGUGGUUCUCAACGUGGGCGGGAUCCGUCAUGAGACUUACAAGGCAACGCUCAAGAAGAUUCCCGCGACACGGCUCUCGCGGCUGACGGAAGCACUCGCCAACUACGACCCCGUGCUCAACGAGUACUUCUUCGACCGCCACCCCGGCGUCUUCGCACAGGUCCUCAACUAUUACAGGACCGGCAAACUCCACUACCCCACAGACGUGUGUGGGCCGCUCUUCGAAGAGGAGCUGGAGUUCUGGGGGCUGGACGCUAACCAGGUGGAGCCCUGCUGCUGGAUGACGUAUACGCAGCAUCGAGACACCCAAGAAACGCUGGCAGUCCUAGACCGGCUGGAUCUGGACACGGAGAAGCCUUCUGAUGAGGAGGUGGCUCGCAAGUUCGGCUUCGAAGAAGACUAUUAUAAUGGCACCGUCUCCUGGUGGCAGCAGCUCAAGCCGCAGAUGUGGUCGCUUUUCGAUGAACCCUACAGCUCCAAUGCUGCUAAGAUAAUCGGCGUGAUAUCAGUGUUUUUCAUCUGCGUGUCGAUCAUAUCGUUCUGUCUCAAAACCCACCCGGACAUGCGAGUGCCAGUGAUAAGAAACUAUACGGUGACGACCGCAAACCAAACGCAAUCGUGGGCGUUGGACAAAGUGCAAACAAACGCCCAUGUCGCGUUCUUCUACAUCGAAUGUGUGUGCAACGCGUGGUUCACUCUAGAGAUCCUCGUUCGCUUCAUCUCAUCCCCAAACAAGUGUGAAUUCGUGAAAUCAUCCGUCAACAUCAUCGACUACAUCGCUACGAUGAGUUUCUACAUCGACCUCAUUCUCCAAAAGUACGCUUCCCACGUGGAGAACGCCGACAUUCUGGAGUUCUUCUCCAUUAUUAGAAUCAUGAGGCUCUUCAAGCUCACCAGACAUUCGUCCGGCUUGAAAAUCUUGAUUCAGACAUUCAGAGCGUCGGCUAAGGAACUGACUUUAUUAGUAUUCUUUUUAGUGCUCGGUAUUGUAAUUUUCGCGAGUUUGGUGUAUUACGCUGAGAGGAUCCAGACUAAUCCUCACAACGACUUCAAUAGUAUACCACUUGGGCUCUGGUGGGCCCUGGUUACUAUGACAACCGUCGGCUACGGUGACAUGGCGCCGAAGACCUACGUUGGGAUGUUCGUUGGAGCGCUGUGUGCUUUGGCCGGUGUGCUGACGAUAGCCCUGCCAGUGCCAGUCAUCGUAUCCAACUUCGCGAUGUACUACUCGCACACCCAGGCUCGCGCCAAACUUCCCAAGAAGAGGCGAAGAGUUAUCAACGUCGAGCCAACCAGGCCACCUAUCCAACACUUUGUCGCAGGUGCGCCUGGGCCUGGGGGCCCCGUGGGCCCUAUGGCCCCGGGGAUGGGCCCUCAAGCUGUAAAUCGGCGGAUGAAUGCCAUCAAAACCAACCACCCCAAGGACAUGAUGGGGCCUAACAUGGUCGCAAGCCUGAUGCCCGGAAUGGACCUAUCUGUCACGACUCGCCUCACUCCAAGUCCUCGCGACAUGAGCCCCGCUUUGGCCAUAGCGAUACCUAUGAUGAAGUCAGUCAAUAUUGUCCCUUCACAAUGCUUCGACAAUAUGGCGUUCCAUGGUGAGAAACCUGAAAAUCGAAGUGAUGAAAGCGAGAAGAGUGACAGUAAAACUACUAGUCGCCAGGAAUCAGUCGAAAGCGACAAUACUGUAAGAGCGAAUAACUACAAAAAUGAAUAUAUGGACAAGGUUGAGGAAAAAACUGAUGCAAGAACACCGUUGCUGAGAGAUCAUAAGAUUGAAUCUCUUGAUGAGAGUAAGCUUAGGGAGAAUAAAACUGAAAAAAGGAAGUCUUCGGCUUCAACAUAACAAAUAUAUCACUACCGAUGUAGGCUAUUGACCAAUAGUACUAAGAGAGUGGCUUUGCUAAUGUCAAUAAACUUUGCCGUUAGACCUGUUUACCUAUAUCAGGUUAGGUUAGCGGACACCGGAAAAAAUGAUUUUUCAGAAUUUUUAAUUUACUUUUUAAUAAAAAAAAGUCUCGUUAUUCAUUAGCAAAGUCUAAAAAUGGGUCCUGGAUCAUGCGUAGUUUGUUAAUGCAAACAUAAAAUGAUAAGAUUGCCUUUAAUAUAAACCAGCGUUAUCUUUCUUUUAAUAUGAUGUGACAAAAUUAAAAACUAAUUUAAGGGUUUGUAAUUGUUUGGCCUAAAGUGUUCGAGCUAAAUUUUUGUAUGGAAGUGGAAUGAAGAAUGAAUUGUUUUGUCACAUGCUAUUAAAACAGCGAAAGUAUUUAUAAAAUAUUGUCUUAAAAUCAAGCAUUGAAGGCCGUGAUUAGACUAAGCUAGAUAAGAAUAUAUUAGCACAAUACCAAUGUUUUAUAUUAUAACACAUAAUGUACGUACAAAUAGCUGCCUGUCACAAAUAUAAUGUAAUUGUAGCUUUUUAUUUAGUGUUUUAUAAAAUAGACGCUUAUUUGAAAGAAAAAGAGAUUAAUUAAAACAAGUACACAUUUAUUUUAGCGUUCGUAUCGCAGUUAUGGCAAUUUAUAAAUUAUAAUUUGAUCACUAUUGUAAUUGUAACAGAAUAACAAACAAUGCACACAUAAACUGACGUCCAUUUACGACAUAAGCAAAGACUAUGGAAUUCCAUUUGCUCCGAUCCUGACACACCUCUUUUGUUUCAUGCCACAUUCAUCAAAUUGUUUCAUACCCGCAUUACCGGCGCCCUUUGGGAAUCGGGCUCGAUAUUUUAAGGACAUCUCCAAUUUAGUCAAUACAAUCACAACAAACAUGUUUUCAGGCCAAAUGGCCCGAGUUACAAAUACAAUAAUAAAUUAUUUCCUUCCCAGAUGCUGUCCUAAUAUUGAUGAAUAUAAGUUCCCUUAAUUUAAUCCCUGAAAUGUCAUUUUAAGCAUUCUUUGUAAAAACAACACCAUGUUGGAUUUUCCUUCGUUGUAAGUACUAUUGUCAUAAAUUAUAAUGUAUUUUUAUUUGUUUGUACAUUGACCAAAUUGGAGAUACAUCCUUAAGGUUCAGUACGAUCUACUCUGAACCGGCGUGCGUGUAUGAAGCAAUUGACGAAUGUGGAGGAAGCAAGAGAAGUGUGUUAGGAUCGAAGCAAAUGGAAUUCCAUAUUCUUUGCUUACUCCGGUGGGAAAUAGGCGUAAGUUUAUAUAUGUACUUAUGUGUAUUAUUCUUUGUAUAAUAUUUGUUUUGAUAUCAAUUUUGUAAAUUCAUAUCACAUUUAUUUGCCUAAUUAAAACAUAUAGAAUUAUACUGUAGUUGAAUAACCAAGUAUUUCUUAGAACGGUUAAUGUUAUCUAGAUACUGAUUUCUAAAAUGUGAACAUCGUUCGCUGUCCAUUAGAAAAAUAUCAUCCUUGGGCAUAAUUGUGUAAGUAAAAUCAAAACGUAUGAACUUUACAAGGUGUUAGUGACAUCGUAACGAAU
This 3904-nucleotide unclassified non-coding RNA is filed under the name Pectinophora gossypiella (pink bollworm). RNAcentral describes it as "potassium voltage-gated channel protein Shaw-like". The stretch from base 1579 to 1692 matches the Rfam family "Potassium channel RNA editing signal". The record is from RNAcentral. Lineage: Eukaryota; Metazoa; Arthropoda; Insecta; Lepidoptera; Gelechiidae.